Molecule: ribosomal RNA, 315 nt
Filed under: uncultured eukaryote
Lineage: Eukaryota
Description: partial 18S ribosomal RNA
Rfam family: Eukaryotic small subunit ribosomal RNA
Source: RNAcentral
CCCUUAGAUGUCCUGGGCCGCACGCGUGCUACACUGACACUUGCAACGAGUACUUUGCUUUACCGAAAGGUAAUGCUAAUCAUCAAUAAGUGUCGUGAUGGGGAUAGAUCUUUGGAAUUAUGGAUCUUGAACGAGGAAUGCCUAGUAAGCGUAGGUCAUUAGCCUACGCUGAUUAAGUCCCUGCCCUUUGUACACACCGCCCGUCGCUCCUACCGAUUUCGAGUGGUCCGGUGAAACUUUUGGACCGUGCGACUUUAUUGUUGUCACGGAAAGUCAGUUAAACCAUACUACUUAGAGGAAGGAGAANUCGUAACA